CCAAGCACAAAGCCCCGGCGGCCGCGGGCCUGCGCCCCGCACCUGCGCCCGGCCCCGCCACCGGCCGGGCGGGGGCCGCCACACCACACGGCCCCGCCGCCCGCCGGGACACCCGGGCCACGCAGCCCGCCUCGCCGGCCGCCCCGCGGCCCGGCCGGGCCCGCCGCGCUCCCCCGCAGCCGCCGCGGGCAGGUCUCUUACCAGAAAAACUGACUGAUGGACCUGCCUACAGGAAAAUGCAUAAGUAUUCAAGACCAUUAUAUAAACUGAAAUGUAAAAAUCAAUAAAGAAUUACAUGUGUAGCAAUGUAGAA
This is a long non-coding RNA of Apus apus (common swift), 313 nucleotides long. RefSeq lists it as uncharacterized. NCBI's taxonomy places the organism in Eukaryota, Metazoa, Chordata, Aves, Apodiformes, Apodidae. The transcript is spliced from 2 exons. The record is from RefSeq and is a predicted model, not a curated record.